GAGGCAAAAUUGUUCCAAGAAGGCAAAUAUUCGGAGAUGACUAUGGAAACACCUCUCCGGAUCCUCGAAUUGAAAGAGAGAUUGAGAGGGGUCAAGAAUCCUAAUUAUCGCUAUUCGGAAUGGAUCCAAUUAUGUUGA
RNAcentral lists this ribosomal RNA (138 nucleotides) under Triticum aestivum (bread wheat). RNAcentral's name for it is "partial small subunit ribosomal RNA". The record is from RNAcentral. Lineage: Eukaryota; Viridiplantae; Streptophyta; Magnoliopsida; Poales; Poaceae.